GACGAACGCUGGCGGCGUGCCUAAUACAUGCAAGUAGAACGCUGAAGCGAGGAGCUUACUCUUCUUGGAUGAGUUGCGAACGGGUGAGUAACGCGUAGGUAACCUGCCUUGUAGCGGGGGAUAACUAUUGGAGACGAUAGCUAAUACCGCAUAACAAUGGAUGACACAUGUCAUUUAUUUGAAAGGGGCAAUUGCUCCACUACAAGAUGGACCUGCGUUGUAUUAGCUAGUAGGUGAGGUAAUGGCUCACCUAGGCGACGAUACAUAGCCGACCUGAGAGGGUGGUCGGCCACAAUGGGACUGAGACACGGCCCAGACUCCUACGGGAGGCAGCAGUAGGGGAUCUUCGGCAAUGGGGGGAACCCUGAACGAGGAACGGCGCGUGAGGGGAGGAGGUUUUCGGAUCGUAAAGCUCUGUUGUAAGUCAAGGACGGGAGGGAGAGUGGAAAGUUCACGCUGUGACGGUAGCUUACCAGAAAGGGACGGCUAACUACGUG
RNAcentral lists this ribosomal RNA (497 nucleotides) under uncultured bacterium. RNAcentral's name for it is "partial 16S ribosomal RNA". It matches the Rfam family "Bacterial small subunit ribosomal RNA", at positions 28 to 507 of the family's 1533-position model. The record is from RNAcentral.